This 482-nucleotide ribosomal RNA is filed under the name uncultured bacterium. RNAcentral describes it as "partial 16S ribosomal RNA". It matches the Rfam family "Bacterial small subunit ribosomal RNA", at positions 28 to 507 of the family's 1533-position model. The record is from RNAcentral.
GAUGAACGCUAGCGGCAGGCCUAAUACAUGCAAGUCGGACGGGAUUCAGGAGCUUGCUUCUGAUGAGAGUGGCGCACGGGUGCGUAACACGUAUGUAACCUACCUUUAUCAGGGGGAUAGCCUCUCGAAAGAGAGAUUAAGCCCGCAUAAAAUCACAGCACAGCAUUGUGUAAUGAUCAAAUAUUUAUAGGAUAAAGAUGGGCAUGCGGAACAUUAGCUAGAUGGCGGGGUAACGGCCCACCAUGGCGACGAUGUUUAGGGGAUCUGAGAGGAUGGCCCCCCACACUGGUACUGGGACACGGACCAGACUCCUACGGGAGGCAGCAGUAAGGAAUAUUGAUCAAUGGGCGGAAGCCUGAACCAGCCAUGCCGCGUGCAGGAAGACGGCCCUACGGGUUGUAAACUGCUUUUAUACGGGAAUAAACCCAGAUACGUGUAUCUGGCUGAAUGUACUGUAAGAAUAAGGAUCGGCUAACUCCGUG